RNAcentral lists this ribosomal RNA (717 nucleotides) under Pseudobacillus badius. RNAcentral's name for it is "bacterial SSU rRNA". It matches the Rfam family "Bacterial small subunit ribosomal RNA", at positions 51 to 809 of the family's 1533-position model. Lineage: Bacteria; Bacillati; Bacillota; Bacilli; Caryophanales; Bacillaceae. The record is from RNAcentral.
AUAAUGCAGUCGAGCGGACUUGACGGAAGCUUGCUUCCGUUCAAGUUAGCGGCGGACGGGUGAGUAACACGUGGGUAACCUGCCUGUAAGACUGGGAUAACUCCGGGAAACCGGGGCUAAUACCGGAUAUUCUUUUUCUUCGCAUGAAGAAGAAUGGAAAGGCGGCUUUUAGCUGUCACUUACAGAUGGACCCGCGGCGCAUUAGCUAGUUGGUGAGGUAACGGCUCACCAAGGCAACGAUGCGUAGCCGACCUGAGAGGGUGAUCGGCCACACUGGGACUGAGACACGGCCCAGACUCCUACGGGAGGCAGCAGUAGGGAAUCUUCCGCAAUGGACGAAAGUCUGACGGAGCAACGCCGCGUGAGUGAAGAAGGUUUUCGGAUCGUAAAGCUCUGUUGUCAGGGAAACUACGUGCCAGCAGCCGCGGUAAUACGUAGGUGGCAAGCGUUGUCCGGAAUUAUUGGGCGUAAAGCGCGCGCAGGCGGCUUCUUAAGUCUGAUGUGAAAGCCCACGGCUCAACCGUGGAGGGUCAUUGGAAACUGGGAGGCUUGAGUGCAGAAGAGGAGAGCGGAAUUCCACGUGUAGCGGUGAAAUGCGUAGAGAUGUGGAGGAACACCAGUGGCGAAGGCGGCUCUCUGGUCUGUAACUGACGCUGAGGCGCGAAAGCGUGGGGAGCGAACAGGAUUAGAUACCCUGGUAGUCCACGCCGUAAACGA